UGAGAUGAGAGAAGGUGAGUUGCAACAAUCUUAUAAAAAUGGUAUCAAAAGCUGCAGCAUUCAGAGAUUCUAAAUACAAUAUGUAACAAUGGAUGUAUAGAAAAGUGCUACUUGAGGAUUUUUCAAAACAUCUUUUGCGAUCAUAUGGGUUUGGAACCACAAGAGAGCAACUUAAUGACCGCAUUUUCAUUUUGAAGUGACCGGUCCCUUUAAAGAAGGACCACCAGGUUGCCAAGCCAGAGAGGGGGAUGUGAGACAGAAAGAGAAAAGAAAAAGAAGAGGAGGAGUCUGGAUGAGGAAUAAUGCUGCCAACUCGUUCUGUUGAGUUGAGAAGCAGCAUCUGGAAACGUUUAUGUCUGCACAGCUAUGGCCCCAACAGUUACAUCACUCAGAGGAACACUUCCCUGCCCCCAACACACACACACACACACACACACAACAACCCCCCAGUAACCCAGUACGAUUUCCUGCGAAUUCCAAAGUCGGAUCCCGGCUGGAACAUUUCAGUGCGCUUGCCACGUCACUUUGCCUCCCCUUUCGUCCCUUUUCUACUUUCGUCCCGCUCCUCGCCUCUCUUUUCUCCAUUUAUCGCUUUCCCUUUACUUUGAAAAUGACUGCUAAAGGAACAUUUCUCAGCGUUAUUUAUAAAACAAUGGUAAAGAGCGCAAACUGCAUUUGGUCCAGAAUGCGAAAAUGAAGCCAAAGGGUCCUUAUUCGUCUUGAAGAAACUGCAGAGGCCUGGAAUAUGCAUUUGCCACGCAGCAGACAUUCGUGUGCGGUCCUCGGGGCAGUGACCUGCGGUCCAGCCGCCCUCUUUCCUCCCCCCCGCCUGCCCAGUGUUCAGACUACCUGUUCAUCAUGCUGCAGCUGAACAGUAGUCCGCACAUUGGUUAGGCUGGGCUGGGACACACACACCCGUGGCUCGAGUACAAGGACUCUACCAUUCGCUGCUGGACUCGGGGGGGAUUUCACAUAUAAACAAUCUUUCUUUGGGGAAUAAAGUGAGACAUUUCCAUUGAAGUUGCUUUGGAUGAAAGCAAAUGUAUGUGCUCGCAGGGAAAGAAACCCAAGGCCUUGAUGUUACUCGCACCACACUCAUCCAGUAAAGCCACAGGAACUUUGGAAAACAGCUAACGUUUGCACUAAUUUCAAACACACAUGAAGUUCGAGUCCGACUUGAGUGGCACUAGUUUUAAGUUCAAGCGAAAGGGGGAGGGACUGUAAAUGAAAAAUGAAGAACAGAUGAAUCUUACCUCCUCGUCCUUGUACCAGGACAGCGAUUCGGCCGUCAGGACGAACCAGUACUCCUUGGAGCCACCCUUCAUAAUGCUGAUGUGGAGGGUUAGCCAGCCUUUACGGAUCACCUGUGGUACAGAGGGGAGCGGGGUGGGGGGAUUUGCAUGCCACAAGAGUGGGGAAAGAUUAUGAGAUCCACAGUCUUUGUGCAAUAAACUUGUGUCCUAUGCUGAACCAACCUGAAAACCAUAUUGUGCAAACCUGUACUUACCUGAUGUGGAAAUAUUUUGUGUAAAUUUGGUUGCCUUCUAUUGUGGUCAACGUGACUAACUAAACUACUCCGAUUUGUACAUUACAUCAAUGGUUCUUGACUUGUUUCCAAAAAUCACUACAUUUUUUCAGGCAAAAUUGGUCCUUUGUCCACUAGUCCACUGUUUUUCAGUUUGGUAAAAAAAAAAAAAAAUUCAGGUCAAAAAGGUUCAUUCUUAGUAAGUUUCAUUGCCAAUCCCAAACAAAAAAUUAACCAUGGUUGUAUUAUAGUAAAGGUGUAGUAACAGUUUUUUUUUUUUUGCCAUUUCGAUUACUAAUUGUAUAACAUUUUAUUACAAAUACAAUGGUUAACCUAUGGUUAGUGUACCAAAACCAUAGUUAAUUUGUUGUUACUACGGUCUAACGACAAACCAUGUUUUUUGGGGGUUUUAGUUGUACCAAAAAACAGUUAAUUUUUUUGUAAGAGACAUAGCAAUGCAUAACACAAAUCACUUUUUUUUUUUUUUUUUAAACAAAAAGCAUCACGCUUGUCAAUACAGAGAAUCUGCAUGUGGAAAUCUUCAGUCCUCAUGCAAAAUUCCCAAUUCCUUUUGUACAUUUUAUACAUUUAAAUAUGUUAAACCAGAAGCGUGAUGACUGCAACUGCAAAAAAAUAAAAAAAUAAAUUUAUAAAUUAAUAAAACAGCAGGAGUGUUAUUUACCAACAGUUUUAGCAUAUUAGCAAAAAAAUUCCAUUAUAUUUUUACUUUAUCAUUCGAAUUUAGCUUUAGGUUGCGAUUCCCCAGUUGGGAACCACUAGACUACAGUAUCUACUCUGCAUGGAGUCAGAACAUAAGGCAGCAAUUAAAGCUUAGUCACAUAUAAAUGCUCUAGAAAACACUAAAGAAAACCACUGGGGAGUGUCUUGAAGUCUUGAAAUAGAGCAACAAUAAAAGAACAAAGGAACAA
Molecule: long non-coding RNA, 2454 nt
Organism: Carassius auratus (goldfish)
Lineage: Eukaryota; Metazoa; Chordata; Actinopteri; Cypriniformes; Cyprinidae
Exons: 2
Source: RefSeq, a predicted model, not a curated record